GGAAGAGAUUUCAUACUUCUUGGUUGCAGGUCAAGGAGGUUCCAGCCACAUCUCCUCCACUUGUGCCUGUGUCCCGUUUUCAUAUCUGUGUACAGCAUAAAAGGGAAGAGAAGAGAAGCCAAAAAUGAAUCUACCACUGUGGUUUUAAGACACUUCUUAGAAAUUUUCUGCUCUCUCAAGACACGCCAUAGAAGCUCGAUUUGGUUCUGUACAAGCAGUCUCCACAUCUGGAAUAGACCGUGUAUUCCGAAAUCUACUUACAAGCUUCUGCAGCAUGCUUUUUGAUGAUGAUGAAAGCUGCAAGUUGCAACAGAUAACUCC
RNAcentral lists this long non-coding RNA (321 nucleotides) under Equus caballus (horse). RNAcentral describes it as "lncRNA (ENSECAG00000057511.1)". Lineage: Eukaryota; Metazoa; Chordata; Mammalia; Perissodactyla; Equidae. The record is from RNAcentral.